Molecule: ribosomal RNA, 253 nt
Filed under: uncultured bacterium
Lineage: Bacteria
Description: partial 16S ribosomal RNA
Rfam family: Bacterial small subunit ribosomal RNA
Source: RNAcentral
UACGUAGGUGGCCAGCGUUGUCCGGAUUUACUGGGCGUAAAGAGCGCGCAGGCGGUCGUUCAAGUCGAGUGUGAAAGCCCCCGGCUCAACUGGGGAGGGUCACUCGAUACUGAUCGACUUGAAGGCAGGAGAGGGAAGCGGAAUUCCGGGUGGAGUGGUGAAAUGCGUAGAGAUCCGGAGGAACACCAGAGGCGAAGGCGGCCUGCUGGGCUGCACCUGACGCUGAGCCGCGAAAGCCAGGGGAGCGAACGGG